Molecule: long non-coding RNA, 2327 nt
Filed under: Homo sapiens (human)
Lineage: Eukaryota; Metazoa; Chordata; Mammalia; Primates; Hominidae
Description: HSALNT0305892
Source: RNAcentral
CCAGGAUGGUCUCGAUCUCUUGACCUUGUGAUCCGCCCGCCUCGGCCUCCCAAAGUGCUGGGAUUACAGGCGUGAGCCACUGCACCCAGCUGCUAGCUAUUAUUUCUAAUCCUUUGCCAUGCUCAGGUAUAAUCUUCCCAAAUCCAGAAGUAAUUUUAUAACUUCAGCUAAUUGCAGUGAUAAAUUAUUGAAAUAUUUUCCUAAAGAAAAUACACAAAUGAAACCUUAAAAAUACAAGGACUGGGCCGGGCACAGUGGCUCAUGCCUGUAAUUCCAGUACUUUGGGAGGCCUAGCUGGGUGGAUCACCUGAGGUCAGGAUUUCGAAACAAGCCUAGCCAACAUGGCGAAACGUCGUCUCUACUAAAAAUGCAAAAAUUAGCUGUGCAUGGUGGUGGGCGCCUGUAAUCCCAGCUACUCGGGAGGCUGAGGCAGGAAAAUCGCUUGAACCUGGAGGCGGAGGUUGAAGUGAGGCUAGAUCUCACUGCUGGACUGCAGCCUGGGGCAACAGAGCAAAAACUGUCUAAAAAAAAAAAAAAAGGCUGGGCGCUGUGGCUCAUGCCUGUGAUCCCAGCACUUUGGGAGGCCAAGGCGGGCAGAUCACGAGGUCAGGAGAUGGAGACCAUCCUAGCUAACACAGUGAAACCCCGUCUCUACUGAAGAUGCAAAAAAUUAGCGGGGCAUGGUGGCGGAUGCCUGUAGUACCAGCUACUCAGGAAGCUGAGGCAGGAGAAUGGUGUGAACCCGGGAGGCAGAGCUUGCAGUGAGCCGAGAUCGCUCCACUUCACUCCAGCCUGGGCGACAGAGGGAGACUCUGUCUAAAAAAAAAAAAAAAAAAGAAAGAAAGAAAGAAAGAAAGAAAGAAAGAAAGAAAGAAAGAAAGAAAGAAAGAAAAGAAAGAAAGAAGGUAUAGUAAAUUAUGAAAGAGAAAAAGAGAGACUAAGCAUCUUCAACAAGAAAAAUGAAAAUAAUAAAAACUAUACAAUUGCAAAACAAUAACUCUUGUUAAAAUAUUUUACAUGUCAUAUUGUAAAUAAGACACCCUCAGUGUAUGCAGAAAUGACUACAUUAGUAUAGGAAAGAGCUGUGAUUGUAGAUAUAUAAACUAGAGAAAUGAGAAUCAGAAAUAAGUUUAUCAACUAGAAGAGAGAAGAAAUUUUUAUUUGAGUAAAUCUACUGUCUAUAAUUUAAAAAUACACAAUGGUAUUUCUUUCAUUAAAUAGCUUUAUUUAAAUAUAAAAAUAAAAGCUUAUACAUAGGCCAGAAGAAACAUUGCUGGUUUAUAAUAAGGUUCAUAGGAACUAAAACAGGGUAAUUAGAUAAGACAGUGUGUAAAUAAUUAUGUUAUUUUAGUAAAAAUAUCCAACACUGUUCCUUUCAAAUAAAAAUAUAUUUUUUAAAGGUCAACAAAAAGUUAUUGUGCUUCAAAUUUUAACAUUUAUCCUGCAAGUAAAAUUACUAUAAGAAGAAACAACUAACCUAUAAAUAAAUAAUCUACUUUUUGGAAAAGUUAACAAACCUCUCUACACACAAUAUAAUUAAGAAAGAUAAUAAGAAACAUAUAUAAUUUCAAGAUUUUCAAUUUUUUUUUACUAAGCCAGAGAAGAUAAAUGAGUUAAUCAUUCAUGUCAGUAAGUAAAUACAGGAUCAAAAAACAUACCUAAUGGAAGGAAAUUAAUAACAGAAAAGUAAAAAUUAUAAUCUAGAAAAUGAAAAAUAUAAAUCGAUUCAUAAAUGGAUAAGACUUUUAAGACUUUUUUUGAAGAAAUCAUUUCAAACUAGAAUAAGCAAGAGGAAUAGAUCAAAACAAAAAGGAAAACAGUGAAGGUGAUAUACACAUCCUCUUACUGAAAGUUAAUUUUAAAGAACUGCUUUGUAAACACUAAAACUCAGAGUCCUCAAUGUGUCUGGAUAUGGAUUCAUUUUUAUUUCUUCUGCUCAGCACUUGUUUUAUACUUUAAAUUAGAGUCCUCAAGUCUUUCCUCUGCAAUGGAAAUUUUAUGGCAUCAUGUAAAGUAUACAAAUAGUGAAGGCAUUGCCAGUGUUUUCUUGUGUAUAAGUAUUCUCUACCAUUAGAAUGGAAACGUCAUCAAAGUGGGCCCUUAGUGAGAGUUUGCUGAGUGGAUGAAUACUGUCCUUAAAUAUGACUUCUCCAUUCUCUUUGGACUCCUUUUGAAACUCCUAUCAUACAUGUGUUGGGGACUUUCUUGACUGGUCUUUCUGACUUUUAAAUCCUUUUAUCUGGAUAAAUUCAUCAUUAUCUCCCAAUUGACUAAUUCUUUGUGUUUAUUGCAUUUACACUUCUUUUUUAUAUAAUUUUCAUUUCUAG